CUUAAAUUUUUCUGUUUGUACAGUGAUUUCAUCAAAUGAACUCUGUUUGCGCAGCCUAACAAUAUGUCUGGUUCUGAUUCUGAUGGGUUGGAUCAUGGUUGGAUGUCUGCUGAUUUUAGUUUUGAUUCAUCUUUGCAAUCUGGCAGCGUUUUACCUUCGUUUCAAGUUGACCACACCUGGCUUGCAGCUGCUUGUGGUCACUGUUCCGGCGGCAAGCAUGGUAGAACUCCUCUGUACGAUGUUUCCAAUCAGUCUCUCUCUCUAUCUCGGCAGGUAUAGCAAAUACUGUGAGCAUUGUGAAUGUAUGACAGCUUAUGAUUUCUCUUACUUAUAUGUCAUAUGUCUUUUAUUACAUCUUUAGAAAUCUCCUGGUCCUUCUAGAAAGUUCUGUUUAGAUUCCGGUCGUGUUUUCUCCGAUGAAAAUAAUCAUUUUUCAUGUCGUUCUACAACUAAAUCAGGUAAGAUAAAUGUCACUGUGUCAAUUAUAUUAACUCCUUUUUCCAGUUAUGUCUAAUUCCUGUCUAAUGAGUUGCAUAUAAGUUCAAAAAGGACGGCAUGAUUGUUCAGACAGAGGUUUCCCAACCUCCAUGUCUAGAAGAUUUGUGAGUGAAGCUGUGAUUGUUGAAGAAAUAAGUCUUGAUCAUGUAAUCUCAGACGAUAUUUCUGCUGUACAAGAUGCGGUGUUUCGUUAUAACUCCCACUACUCCUUUACAUUGAUAAUGUUUUUUCAUACAAUACUAUUUUGCCUUUAGGUACUCCUAAGAAGAGUAGUUUUAAAAGGAAAGGUCGUUUUCCUGCUGAUGAGGUGAAUGAGAAACUUGCUUUUGGUAACUCUCUCUGCUGCGUAGCCUGAAGCUUCAUCCGCCAUUACUUCUUAAUGACAAACGAGUGGUUUUUUCAAUAGGUCAGUUGUGAUGUGCAGAACAAUCUUCAUGAACUCUGGUCCCUCAUGAACUUUCUACUUCGGGAGAUUUUUAUUUCAACAGAAACUUUUGAUGAAUGGUUUGCAAUCUCUGGGGAAAAUGACUAGGAAGAGGUCCUCCGUCCAUCCCUUCUGAGAAGGUUGAAGUCAGAUGUUGAGAAGGGCUUGCCUCCAAGAAGGAGACAAUACUCAAGGCAUGAAUUUCACUUCUUUAAUACAGAGGCUUACUGAGCUGUAUGAAAAAGAAGUUCGCUUUCUUAUUGUUGGUAUAAGCUGGUUUUACAAAUUUUCCAUAUAGUUAACUACACAGAUAAUUGCUUUAUACAUUAUGUCCUAUUUUGUGUGGAGACAAAAGUUUGGAUGGUAAUUUUGUUUUGCUCGCCGUAGCAAGUUAAUCAGAAGAAUCAAUCAAAAGAUUCAGUUGAAGCGGAUGAGCCUGAAGAUAUAUGGGAGACCCUUUGACCACUGAGGAACAGGAAGAGAAGGAGCAGUUGCUGGAAGAGGUGAUACAGGAGUCUUUGUGUGGCUGUUAGUAUGUUUGUAAGUUACUUGAAAUUGCUCUGUGUAUACUACUGCAACCACCCGUGCAAGGCACAUGAGCUUUUUAAUUAUUUAUAAACUUUUUAAAUAUAUAUUAAAUGGUGUGAAAAAAUGUAAUUUAUAAAUUUGUAUCAUGCCAAAGUAUUAAAUUUUUUUUCUAUCAAA
Molecule: long non-coding RNA, 1627 nt
Organism: Daucus carota subsp. sativus
Lineage: Eukaryota; Viridiplantae; Streptophyta; Magnoliopsida; Apiales; Apiaceae
Exons: 6
Source: RefSeq, a predicted model, not a curated record